Molecule: long non-coding RNA, 1834 nt
Filed under: Mus musculus (house mouse)
Lineage: Eukaryota; Metazoa; Chordata; Mammalia; Rodentia; Muridae
Description: predicted gene 10610
Source: RNAcentral
GUUCCUAAGAGGCAGGUUGACUGAGGGAAAUGGCUCCUUGUCACUCAGCUAACCUUCAAGGAAGAGGAGUGCCUGACUACACACUUUGCAAAUGUCCAGAUGCUGUUAGAGACACUUGACGGUGGAAUUUUGUGAUGCAAACUCACAGGUCUUGCAUUUGUGCACAGCUAUUUGAGAGUCAAGAGGGUGGUCCUUUCGACUGUCUCCAGCACAAAGUGCCGAGAGAGAGAGACAGAUGUGCUACUGCAGAACCCAUCGCUAAAGCUUUUGUUGCUGGACAAUCCGAUACACACAGAUACCUGCAGGAAAACAGGAAUCUGAAGGGGUGACAGGGUCCUUGGCGUUCUCAUUUACAACAGCAUUCCUGUAAGGGACUCUUGUUAAACCUAAAAGAAACAAAGAAACAAACAAGCCAUGCUGAAAAAAAUGAUAGUAGCUAUCAAACCAAGUACGAAGAGUUGGAGAGAGGAGUCCCCAAAUACAUGGUGAAAUGCAUCCUAUUGUAAUAUAACGAGAGAUGUACUAUCCUCGACACGAAUGAACAGAAAGCAAUGAGAGGUCCAUCCAGCUGGCAGAGUGGGUAAGGUUGUAACUGACAGCCAAUACUCACCUCCCCUCCUUCAGCCAGUUAUGGAUUUAUCUUUUAGACACAGAUCUAAAGAAGCUUCUCACUCAAGCAUUGUGAGUAUCCCUCAGCACGCCCCGGGGCCAGUCCCAACAUCCCCAUCCACAAUGGCCACAACACUGCUAAUCCUUAAAUCAUGGCUUAGCACUGUAACACAGAGACAUCUGCUGGGCGGGAGUCCAGGGUGCGAGUUGGAACCCCAAGUGCUGUUUUCCUGGAUAAUCUCAUGUCACCUCUCCAGGCAUCUUUGCUUGAACUGCCACCCACUGGGUGAGGUCUCACCCACCAUCCUCUCUAACGUGAUUUUCUCUCGCCUAUUGUCACGUUUUUCCACUGAUUUCCAUUUAGCACUUAUCAAAAUAAAAUCACUUCAUUUUACACUCCUUUGUCUGCCUCCCCUGCCUGCAGCUAUUGUUGAAGCAAGCAGGACCCUCUUUGGUCUGCCUCCUCCUGCAUCUCUACCUUUGAGUACAGUGUGCUGUACAUUGUAAAUGGCUUUGUAAAACUGAACAAAUGACUGAAUGGUGGCUGAGAGGCUGCUGGUCCAUCCCUCUAUUUCCUUCUGGUUAUGAAAUUUGAUUAAAAACAUCACAUUUAGGAUCAAAGCUAUUAUGGGAGACUAUUAAGUCAACAUAAAUAACUAAAAUGUGCCUGAAGAAAAAACAAGAGAUUGUAGAUACAGAAAAGAUAAUCAUCUCUACCGUGUUUAAAAACAGACGAUGAAACAAGAACUCAGAAGCCCAGGAGUCCCGCUGCAAAGGCUCACUCACAAGAAUGCCUGAUUUCUGGGAGAACUGACGACCAGGAUGGGCCAGGAGCAGCUGGGUGUGCCUGCUGUUUUAUGUGGAGGUGAGCAACUGCAUAGACAGCUCACCAGUCCAGAAGGACCCUCUUUAUACUGAUGCUGAAGUCAUAUCGUGGUUUGAAUGUGAAAUGUGCCCUAUCAAUCGACUCAAGGGUGUCAACACUCAGUCCCCAGCUGCUGAUCCUGUUUGGGAAGCUUGUGGAAUCUUUAUCAGAUGGAGCUUCAGUGGAGGAAGUUGGUCACUGGGGAUGGAUGGUCUCAUUACUCUUUACUCUCUGCUCCUUCACUGCUGGUGCACUGCUACCAUCCGGCCUCCUGCCUGCCUUCUCUAACUCAAGCCAUGUCCUCCCUGUCCUGAAGGAAUGAUCUCCAUCAACUGUAGGCCAGAAUAAACCUUUUCUUCC